This 339-nucleotide unclassified non-coding RNA is filed under the name soil metagenome. RNAcentral's name for it is "partial contains 5.8S ribosomal RNA, internal transcribed spacer 2, and large subunit ribosomal RNA". The stretch from base 1 to 120 matches the Rfam family "5.8S ribosomal RNA", at positions 35 to 154 of the family's 154-position model. The record is from RNAcentral.
GAUGAAGAACGUAGUGAAAUGCGAUAAGUAAUGCGAAUUGCAGAAUUCCGUGAGUCAUCGAAUCUUUGAACGCACAUUGCGCCCUCUGGUAUUCCGGAGGGCAUGCCUGUCUGAGCGUCAUUGUCAACCCUCAAGCUCAGCUUGCUGUUGGGUCCCCGUCGUUGCUUUAACGGCGGACCCGAAAGGUAAUGGCAGAGUCCGUGAGACCCUAGACGCAGCGAGCUUCUAGCACGCGUCUGGACGUUUUUCGGGCUCGGUCUUAAACUAGAUGAUAACUUCCGAUUGACCUCAGAUCAGGUAGGGAUACCCGCUGAACUUAAGCAUAUAAUAAGCGGAGGA